GUACAACUCUGAGCGGUGGAUCACUCGGCUCGUGUGUCGAUGAAGAGCGCAGCCAACUGUGUGAAUUAAUGUGAACUGCAUACUGCUUUGAACAUCGACAUCUUGAAC
Molecule: ribosomal RNA, 108 nt
Filed under: Retrovarium formosum
Lineage: Eukaryota; Metazoa; Platyhelminthes; Trematoda; Opisthorchiida; Cryptogonimidae
Description: partial 5.8S ribosomal RNA
Rfam family: 5.8S ribosomal RNA
About the family: 5.8S ribosomal RNA (5.8S rRNA) is a component of the large subunit of the eukaryotic ribosome.
Source: RNAcentral